RNAcentral lists this ribosomal RNA (55 nucleotides) under Paratrichodorus porosus. Its description in RNAcentral is "partial 28S large subunit ribosomal RNA". The record is from RNAcentral. Lineage: Eukaryota; Metazoa; Nematoda; Enoplea; Triplonchida; Trichodoridae.
ACGCGUCAAGUAGAGCCUGAACACUCGCUUAAUUUAAGCAUAUUAGUAAGCGAAG